CAGAACAGAGGGAUGCUGGCAGGUGGAAAAUAAAGCAGCUGGCUCCUUGGGGAGGGAGGAAACACUGGAGCUUGGGGAGGCGAUUUGGGGGAGAGAUUUUAAAUAACCAAUAUUUCUGUUGAGACCAGGACUUUUGGUGUGGUGCAGCUAUGCAUUUUAAUUUCGGAAAUCAUGUUUAGAAGAGAUUGAAUAGCUAUCCUUUAAGAACUGAGAGAUUGGAGCUGGGUCAUCUUUUGCAGGAGAAGUGCUUGCUCUUACUGGCAGCCCUGUGCCUUGGCAUAGGGUUUGAUCCCACGCUUUCUGGUUGGCUUUGCUGGAGACAUUGCUUUGACAUCUAAAUCUUGACCCAGGUGAUGCUGCAUGUGUUCCCCAAGAGCAGGGCCACCAUUGUGAAGUGUGUGAGUUGUCCCUCUGUCCCCCCACCCUUCCCACCCUCCAACCAGACCCAGAACCAGGGCAAGGGAGUGAAGGAAGGAAGGAGCCCACAUCAGCCACUUGCUGCUGGCUCUGGACAACUGCAUCGAGGCUUUGAGUGAGAAGGGGGGGAGCUGCACCCAGUUUGUCGAUUUUCAAGACAGCAAACUCAUGUGGUUUUUGAAGGUGUUGUCCACUGCAGGUUAACGAGGAGUUUGGUGUGCUUGUUGCUGGUAUUACUGCCCAGAUCAGUGCUCAAGAGAUAGUCCUUGAAUGUCUCCAUGUGCCAUCUUUAUCUGGCUUGGAACACUCCUUCGGGGUCUUGAGUGUACUUUGCUGCACAGUCAGGGCUUGACAGGCUCGGUGCUGAGCUGCCCCUGUCGCUGCCUGACAGAUGUGUUUUCUAGCGGAUGACAGGGAGGAGAAGGGAUGGAGAAAAACGGAAGGCUUCUGUUGCAGGCAGAAUUGAGAAGCUGCCGGCAUUUCUUUAGAAAUAGACUCGUUAGGGGGCAAUGGCAGGACUGUCUGAUUGCACAUGUCAGCCCUGCCAGCACCUCCUUUGAAGAAUCGUGAAUGACCUUGAGCUAUGCCUAUCAAGCUGAAAGCAUCAAGGCAGGUAAAUGAGCAAACAACUCACAGGGGAGAGGGGCUGGAGUUUAAAAGCAACGAGGAAAAGGAGGAUGCAGUGAGUGAAGGGAGAGCAGACUUCAGGAGUUCAGUGCAGGAUGGAGCAGAGGCACAGUAUGAGAGAUACAAAGUGGAAGAGGAGAAGGAAAACAAAUGAAGGGAACAGCUGAAAGCAAAUUGUGAGGGUGGUGGAUGGGAAGAGGAAUAUGAGGGACAAAACAAGGGGGCAGAUUUAUGAGAAGGCAGAGGAUGAUGUGCCUGGUAUGGACCUGGGUGCAGAACACCAGGAAUGAUGGAUGGACGAGAGCAGUUUGGAGGGCAAUGUAUGGGGGAGGUCCCAGUGGGGACUGCUGAUGCUGGGAGAGGAACUGAGGACCUGCAGAAAGGAGGAAUUAAAGGAGAAGGCUUGCGGGGUGAAGGAAGAUGAGCAAUGAUCUACGCAGGGUUUUCACUCUUUAUGGAUCCCUCCGUGUUUUCCCUGUGGACACAAGAUCCCUGCCUUUUCUCUGUUGCCUUUUGGGAACUUCCCGGAAUUCAAUCAGGGACAACACGUUCAAUCUUUUCACCAUCUUCCCCAAUACUAAAAUGCAAUAAAUUUCACAAACCUGCCCCUGAGAAGAAGAGCUUUGGUAUCAAGGGGUGGUAUUUGCUGUUGAAAGUCCUGACUCUUACAGAGAAGUGUGUUUUGUUAUGGAGAAGCAAGGAGUUCGUAGCUUGCCUCAUCACAGGCGCCGACACUGCGUCAGGACUCGGCGCUCGGUUGUGUGGCCCAUUGUGAUACAUUUUUAAAAGUCACGAGGGAGGCAGGGCAAAGCUUUUAAAAUAUUGAUUGUUCUGCCCCAGGGAUUGUUCCUUUUUGUCAGGGAAUCUGGCAAGGAAUAAAAGAAAAAUAGUCAAGUUCUCUGACGGAUGAGAUAUGAAGCCUCUGCUACCAAUACCCAAGGUUAUUCCUGGACAACAAGGACAGAAACCUGAUAUCUUUUUGGUGGGUAGAAAGGGGGAAGAGAUGUCCCUACAAUGCAGCAUCCUCCUAAUACUCACAAAAGCAGUAACGAUGAAAACUAUUCAUUGCUAAUAAUAUAAUCACAUGCAGACACAAUAGAUUUCUUAAGCACAUGAUUAAAUUCAAGAGAUGGCAGAAGUAAGAGGAUUCCCAUAAAGAAAUGCCUUGUGACACAGGGACUGAGCGGCUGGGUCCCGGAGUAGUGCGGAGGUGAAGAUGCCCAGAAGGUCAACCUCUGCCCAGCAGUGCUUGGGGCAGGAUGGCAGCAACCUAACUCCGGGAUUCUCAUGGCUUAGGACUAGCACUGUAAAUGCAGCGUGGCACUCGUAUCGCAGCUGGGCUCCUUGGGCUGCUGAAGGAACAGAAUAAAAACAUUGAUGUUUGCAUCCUGCCUCCAUCCCUGUGGUUUUUAGGGUGAAGGAAAAUCCCAAAUCCUCUGUCUGAGCUUGCCCUUGCGAGAGCUCAUUCUUCCCGUAUUCCCCUGGCAGGGAUAUUUUGAGGAUAAAAAUCACUGGCUGUUCAAUGUUUUGGUAAUUGCUUCUGGUUAUUGUUUUUUUGGUAACUAAUAUUAAAGUUUGUUUGCUCCUCUGUGCAAGAUCUCUGCCUCUAGCUGUAUCUGCCCUGACUGAAACAUGGUGGCUGCUGCUAGAGUAAGCAAAAUACUUCAUGUAGAUGUUACUUUAAUCUCAGCAUAAAGGACACAGCAGAGAUUUGCUAAGAUGCCUUUGUUAUCCCAAGAAGCUGAGCUGCCUUGACAAACCCCUAUCCCUCUCCUACAGUCAAAGCUGGAGCAGCGCUUAGAAAACGCCAAGGAAAAAGCUGCCCAGACGGAGGGGCUUUUACCCAGACAAAUCAGCAGGGAUUAUCAGCAGGAGGUGCUAAGGCUCCUCUGCAGAGCCCAUGAGCUUGAGCUUGGCAACAGGAGCUGCGGGCAAAUAACACUGUCUUCUGAACGUUUGUAAGUGCUUUGAAGGGAAAAAGUAUAGGAGCUUUGGAUGAAAAGCAAAUACUGAGCUGUCUUAUAUGAGUGGAAACCAGCUGGUGUUGCUGCAGGCCAGAUGACUCCCAGGCUGCAUUCCCCCACCUCUCUAGACUCCUGCAGGAAAAAGCCAGCUGCACACCUUGCUGCUGUUCGGAGUCUGGAGACCUUGAAGGAAUUGCUACCAACACCAAAAGCAUCUCCCUCAUCCCAGCCAGUCGCUGUUCCAGGGCCCAACACAGAGACCCUGGAAGUGAAAUCUCCCCAGCCGCCUUAUGUGAGGAGGAUUUGCUCAAAAUGAGGUGUCCAGGGGCCAAUUCACCUCGAAAGUCAGAUGAAAGUCAGCGUAUCAGGAGUCUGCUGCCAGAGCCUGCAGCUGGGGGCCGGCUGUGCUCCCCAGCCAGGUGAGCACUGAGGGACUGGGAGAUCCCUGCUGUGAGGGCAGCCAGCAAGAGAAGAUCUCGCUCUCUCAAACCAAACCUCCACAGGGCACAUCCUCUGUGUUUCUUUCUGGUGGGAAUAGAUUGAGCAGGAGGCACGGGCAGAGUGGAGCUAGGGUGAUUUUUACAUAAAGAGAAACACAGUACCAGUUGCAUGAAGAAAUAAGUUAAAUAUUUGUAUUCUUUUGUAAUUCCCUUGGCCGCCUGCCGAAAUAACCAAAGUCAGGUGUAAAGGGAAUCUUUUUGGUACAACAUGGCAAUGAUUGGAGGUGAGAGACUUUACCACUGAGGUUAACUCAACUUGGUGUCUUUCAGAUCUCAAAACCUAAGCAUGGGACUCCCUUAAGCGCCAGCACAGACAAAGCUUGUGAGAACCACCUGCGCCGAGCUAGGGCUCUUCUAUCAGUCGAAGGCUGGGAGUAGCCACAAAGGUCGAGUUUCCUAACAGCCCCCAUUCAGGUAGGGGCCAAAGAAGAGCUGCUGGUUGACACGCUGCAUCAGCUCUGUUGCAAUCACAAAGAAGUUCUCCCUGUUUUUGGUAGAGAGGACUCCACCACCAGUGCUGCCAGAAGACAAUGCUCCUGUGAGCAUCGCUCAGUAGAGCAACUCUGCCUGUCAAAGGAUGGGUCCUACAGAAGCAAAUCGAGGAUGACACUGGCAAUAUUCCAGAAUGAGUUACACUCUGUCAACCUCUUAGCCAAAAAAAACCUUUUAGGAAGAGAAAAUAACAUGUUCAGAGGUGUUCAUAAUCCUAGUUUAAUCCACGCUUGAAGAAUAAAAUUUAAUCUGAAUUAGCCAUGUGACAAUGCACUGCUUCUACUGAACGUGUUGCCUUGGGAAAUUUUCGAGACAACUAUGUGCAAAUUUUGGGCCUUUGCAGAUCUCACCUCUGCUGAGCCCAUGGCAAUCCGCCUCUUCCCUUUCUGACCAGCAACGAGACUCAAACCAAAGCGGAGAAACUUGGUCGAGUACUUCGCUUCCCUCCUGUGCAGGACCUGCAGAUGGUGCCAGCAGCCACCAAAAGCAGCAGCUCGUCAUCCGUGUGGGGAACAAGCAGAGGACUGGACAAAAGUCACUAGGGGAGCAGGACUGCCCCUGGCCCUAAGGGAUUGCAGUCUGGGGACUGUCGGAAGUAGGGGAAGCGGGUGCAGAGGUAGCAUCCCUUAAAAUCUAUUUUAGCUUGUGUUGUGAUGCUGAAAAGCAGAGGGAAGGUUAGCAGAGAGGGACCUUACAUUUGUACAUGACUUUCUAUACCCCUACCACAAGUCUUUCUUCUGUACUGUGUGCUGUAGCUGUUAGCUUUAAUUAAAGACAACUAGGGUGUAAACAGAGUCCAAGAGAAGAGGACAAUCUCAUUUUCCCAGCAGUGUUCUCCUCCCAGAUGUCAGCGUGGAGCCCAAGCUGCCUUUUUCCCAGGGCAAAGGUGUGGAUGCCACCCAAGCACCCAAAAGGCUCCCUGAUUAUUCAAACCAAAUGUAAAUGCCUGAGAAAUAGCUUCGUCUUUCUUCCCUGCUGUCCCCUUGUGUUGCUGUGAGGUGGGGAGGUGCAAUGCAUGCCUGGAAUGCUGUUUGGGUGAGCAGAUGUUUGGCUGUGAGAGCAGCCAGACACUGCUGUAAGCUCUUUUCCACCUAAACAGCAUUUCAGAUCGGAUUGCAGCCGGGACAAGCAGCGUGGUGAUAGGUGAAGACCCUGAUAAGAGGUAGCCUGGAGGUCAAUGGCAGGAAUGUUUUUAUUUUUGGAAAAAAAAUGUCUCCAGCCAGCAGUCUUCUCCAUAAGGGACUAUUUUU
This is a long non-coding RNA of Cygnus olor (mute swan), 5250 nucleotides long. RefSeq lists it as uncharacterized. The record is from RefSeq and is a predicted model, not a curated record. The transcript has 4 exons. Lineage: Eukaryota; Metazoa; Chordata; Aves; Anseriformes; Anatidae.